GGGGCUGAACGGUUUCGACUUCGCGCAUCGAAUCAAGGGAAGCGUGCCGGUGCAGGCAAGAGACCACCGUAAGCGUCGUUGCAACCAAUUAAGCGCCGAUUCCAAUCAGCGCGACUACGCCCUCGCUGCCUAAGCGACGGUGUGUCUGUCAGACCGGGAGCGCCCUCGGCCCGGACCCUGGCAUCAGCUAGAGGGACCCACCCACGGGUUCGGUCGCGGGACCCGUGGGGACAUCAAACAGCGACUGGGAUCGUCAUCUCGGCUUGUUCGCGUGACCGGGAGAUCCGAGUAGAGACUUAGCGAACUGCGCACGGAGAAGUCUUGAGGGAAUGCCGUAGGACCCGGGUUCAAUUCCCGGCAGCUCCAC
This 367-nucleotide transfer-messenger RNA is filed under the name Mycolicibacterium neoaurum. Its description in RNAcentral is "transfer-messenger RNA, SsrA". It matches the Rfam family "transfer-messenger RNA". From Rfam's summary of the family: Bacterial tmRNA, also known as 10Sa RNA or SsrA, is named for its dual tRNA and mRNA-like properties. Its role is to liberate the mRNA from a stalled ribosome. To accomplish this part of the tmRNA is used as a reading frame that ends in a translation stop signal. Lineage: Bacteria; Bacillati; Actinomycetota; Actinomycetes; Mycobacteriales; Mycobacteriaceae. The record is from RNAcentral.